AGAUGAUGUUGAGGGAAAUUAUGGAUCAUUCCUUUAUAUCUUUCCAAUGCUACAUACAAUGAUUCACCAUAAUUUUGUUGGAAGUUCGCGUUAUUUUUCAUCAAUCA
Molecule: small nucleolar RNA, 107 nt
Organism: Lactuca sativa (garden lettuce)
Lineage: Eukaryota; Viridiplantae; Streptophyta; Magnoliopsida; Asterales; Asteraceae
Source: RefSeq, a predicted model, not a curated record